GAGUUUGAUCAUGGCUCAGGACGAACGCUGGCGGCGUGCCUAAUACAUGCAAGUCGAACGAACCGCGACUGAGUGCUUGCACUUGGUCAAGGUGAGUGGCGAACGGGUGAGUAACACGUGGGUAACCUACCUCAUAGUGGGGGAUAACAGUCGGAAACGACUGCUAAUACCGCAUAGGACAUGGGAUCACAUGAUUCCGUGAGGAAAGGUGGCGCAAGCUAUCGCUAAGAGAUGGACCCGCGGUGCAUUAGCUAGUUGGUAGGGUAACGGCCUACCAAGGCAAUGAUGCAUAGCCGACCUGAGAGGGUGAUCGGCCACAUUGGGACUGAGACACGGCCCAAACUCCUACGGGAGGCAGCAGUAGGGAAUCUUCCGCAAUGGACGCAAGUCUGACGGAGCAACGCCGCGUGAGUGAAGAAGGUCUUCGGAUCGUAAAGCUCUGUUGUUAGAGAAGAACAGCGCAUAGAGUAACUGUUAUGCGUGUGACGGUAUCUAACCAGAAAGCCACGGCUAACUACGUGCCAGCAGCCGCGGUAAUACGUAGGUGGCGAGCGUUGUCCGGAUUUAUUGGGCGUAAAGGGAGUGUAGGCGGUCUUUUAAGUCUGAUGUGAAAGCCCACGGCUCAACCGUGGAGGGUCAUUGGAAACUGGGAGACUUGAGUGCAGAAGAGGAGAGCGGAAUUCCAUGUGUAGCGGUGAAAUGCGUAGAUAUAUGGAGGAACACCAGUGGCGAAGGCGGCUCUCUGGUCUGUAACUGACGCUGAGGCUCGAAAGCGUGGGGAGCAAAACAGGAUUAGAUACCCUGGUAGUCCACGCCGUAAACGAUGAGUGCUAAGUGUUGGAGGGGUUCCACCCUUCAGUGCUGGAGUUAACGCAAUAAGCACUCCGCCCUGGGGAGUACGGCCGCAAGGCUGAAAACUCAAAAGGAAAUUGACGGGGACCCGCACAAGCGGUGGAGCAUGUGGUUUAAUUUCGAAGCACGCGAAGAACCUUACCAGGUCUUGACAUCCCGACGACCGCUCUAGAGAUAGAGUUUUUUCUUCGGAAACGUCGGUGACAGGUGGUGCAUGGUUGUCGUCAGCUCGUGUCGUGAGAUGUUGGGUUAAGUCCCGCAACGAGCGCAACCCCUAUAAACUAGUUGCCAGCGAUUAAGAUGGGAACUCUAGUUAGACUGCCGGUGACGAAACCGGAGGAAAGGUGGGGAUGAACGUCGAAAUCAUCGAUGCCCCUUAUGACCUGGGCUACGCGCGUGCUACGAAUGGAUGGUACGAACGAGCGGCGAAACUCGCGAGGGCGAGCGAUUCUCUAAAAGCCGUUUCUCGAGUUUCGGAUUGUGAGUUCUGCGGACUCGGACUACAUAAGCUCGGAGUCGCGAGUGAUUCGCGUGUCGGGGCGCCGCGGUUGGUCGUUCCCCGGG
This 1416-nucleotide ribosomal RNA is filed under the name uncultured bacterium. RNAcentral's name for it is "bacterial SSU rRNA". It matches the Rfam family "Bacterial small subunit ribosomal RNA", at positions 9 to 1378 of the family's 1533-position model. The record is from RNAcentral.